AGGUGGGAGCUCUACGAGCGGCGAAGCCGCGGAGGAAGCCGGUGCGAAUCCGGCGCGGUCCCGCCACUGUGACCGGGUUCUGUGCCCGGAAGUCAGGAACUCCGUUCGCCGUGAUCCCAAC
Molecule: non-coding RNA, 121 nt
Filed under: Actinoplanes missouriensis
Lineage: Bacteria; Bacillati; Actinomycetota; Actinomycetes; Micromonosporales; Micromonosporaceae
Source: RNAcentral